This 1581-nucleotide ribosomal RNA is filed under the name Triticum aestivum (bread wheat). Its description in RNAcentral is "partial small subunit ribosomal RNA". Lineage: Eukaryota; Viridiplantae; Streptophyta; Magnoliopsida; Poales; Poaceae. The record is from RNAcentral.
AUGGCGAUAGGGGCGUUCGUGGAGGGCCCGGCGGGCGGCGCCGGGUACAGCGGCCGGGUCACCUCCUUCGUCGUCCUCUCCUGCAUCGUCGCCGGCAGCGGCGGCAUCCUCUUCGGCUACGACCUCGGAAUCUCAGGCGGCGUCACGUCCAUGGAGUCGUUCCUCAAGAAGUUCUUCCCGGACGUCUACCACCAGAUGAAGGGGGACAAGGCCGCCACCGUCUCCAACUACUGCCGCUUCGACAGCGAGCUGCUCACCGUCUUCACCUCCUCCCUCUACGUUGCCGGCCUCGUCGCCACCCUCUUCGCCUCCUCCGUCACCACCCGCUACGGCCGCCGCGCCUCCAUCCUCAUCGGCGGCUCCGUCUUCAUCGCCGGCUCCGCGUUCGGGGGCGCCGCCGUCAACGUCUACAUGCUCCUCGUCAACCGCAUCCUCCUCGGCAUCGGCCUCGGAUUCACCAACCAGUCGAUUCCACUGUACCUCUCGGAAAUGGCGCCGCCGCAGUACCGUGGCGCCAUCAACAACGGCUUUGAGCUCUGUAUCAGCAUCGGCAUCCUCAUCGCGAACGUCAUCAACUAUGGAGUGCAGAAAAUCGAAGGAGGAUGGGGGUGGAGGAUAUCACUGUCCAUGGCUGCUGUGCCUGCUGCAUUUCUAACUAUCGGUGCGAUCUUCCUGCCUGAGACCCCCAGCUUCCUGAUCCAGCGUGAUGGCAAUGUCGACGAGGCGAAGAUGAUGCUCCAGAGGCUGCGUGGCACGACGGGGGUUCAGAAAGAGCUCGACGAUCUGGUCACUGCCAGCAACAUAUCCAGGGCAAUCAAGAACCCGUACCGGAACAUCCUGAAGAAGAAGUACAGGCCACAGCUCGUGAUAGCGCUCCUCAUUCCUUUCUUCAACCAGGUCACGGGAAUCAACGUGAUCAACUUCUACGCGCCGGUCAUGUUCCGGACCAUCGGGCUAGGGGAGAGCGCGGCACUCAUGUCAGCGGUCGUGACACGCCUCUGCGCCACAGUCGCCAACAUCGUGGCCAUGAUCGUCGUCGACAAGUUCGGGCGCAGAAAGCUCUUGCUGGUAGGCGGCAUUCAGAUGAUCCUGUCACAGUUCACUGUCGGUGCGAUCCUGGCCGUGAAGUUCAAGGACCAUGGAGUCAUGGAUAAGGAGUACGGAUACCUGGUCCUGGUCAUCAUGUGCGUGUUCGUGGCAGGGUUCGCCUGGUCCUGGGGACCUCUCACCUACUUGGUGCCAACAGAGAUCUGCCCGCUGGAGAUCAGGUCGGCAGGGCAGAGCGUCGUGAUUGCGGUCAUCUUCCUGAUGACGUUUGUGAUCGGGCAGACGUUCCUCAACAUGCUGUGCCAUCUCAAGUUCGGCACCUUCUUCCUGUUUGGCGGGUGGGUGUGCGUGAUGACGCUGUUCGUCUUCUUCUUCCUGCCGGAGACGAAGCAGCUGCCCAUGGAGCAGAUGGAGCAGGUGUGGAGGAAGCACUGGUUCUGGAAGAGGAUAGUUGGGGAGGGGGAAGAAGAGGUGGAUCAGGCGCACACUGGAGCAGGAGCCAUAGCCAUGUCCACCGCACCACAUAGCAGUUAG